This 352-nucleotide unclassified non-coding RNA is filed under the name soil metagenome. RNAcentral describes it as "partial contains 5.8S ribosomal RNA, internal transcribed spacer 2, and large subunit ribosomal RNA". The stretch from base 1 to 120 matches the Rfam family "5.8S ribosomal RNA", at positions 35 to 154 of the family's 154-position model. The record is from RNAcentral.
GAUGAAGAACGUAGCGAAAUGCGAUAAGUAAUGUGAAUUGCAGAAUUCAGUGAAUCAUCGAAUCUUUGAACGCACAUUGCGCCCGCCAGUAUUCUGGCGGGCAUGCCUGUUCGAGCGUCAUUACAACCCUCAGGCCCCCGGGCCUGGCGUUGGGGAUCGGCGGAGCCCCUCGUGGGCACACGCCGUCCCCCAAAUACAGUGGCGGUCCCGCCGCAGCUUCCAUCGCGUAGUAGCUAACACCUCGCGACUGGAGAGCGGCGCGGCCACGCCGUAAAACACCCAACUCUUCUGAAGUUGACCUCGAAUCAGGUAGGAAUACCCGCUGAACUUAAGCAUAUCAAUAAGCGGAGGA